This 485-nucleotide long non-coding RNA is filed under the name Bos taurus (domestic cattle). RNAcentral describes it as "long non-coding RNA NONBTAT004840". The record is from RNAcentral. Lineage: Eukaryota; Metazoa; Chordata; Mammalia; Artiodactyla; Bovidae.
GUCCAUAAGUCAGAUCCUUAUCAGAUCAUUGUUACCUUCUAAAAAGCGAUCUAUUUUUCACCUGUUGGACUCUGUUAGUGGUCUGAGGAAGAACAGAUCACUUUGUAAACUACGGAUGGUCUGAUAAGGUUUUUACUGACCCACUGACUUUAGAGUUACACUCUGUUUACUACAUCAUAAUGCUGGUUUUGCUGACUUUUUGUUUUUUUAUAUAUUUAUAAAAAAAGAAAAAGUUGGUGAUUGCAUUGGAAGCCCAGGGCGUCACUGGACCUUUGUGGUGUAUUGUUAACCAGUGUCUCGUGAUACCGUUGCUCUUGGUGUUCCUGACACAGGUAAGGAAACAGUUGGUCACCUCUGGUACAAAAUACAUACACAAUUCAGUAUUGUCUCUGUUCACCUUGUUUUUAUUUCAUUGACAGAAUCAAACCAGCAUUCCCCACUGUGUAAAUAAAUGAUUUUGCUGAAUAAAGUAAAGUCUUAAAUUC